Molecule: non-coding RNA, 47 nt
Filed under: Schistosoma margrebowiei
Lineage: Eukaryota; Metazoa; Platyhelminthes; Trematoda; Strigeidida; Schistosomatidae
Source: RNAcentral
AUCCAACUGACGAAUCCAAAAUAGGAUGAAACACACAUAUCCUGCAU